ACGCUCGACACCUACGGGAGGCAGCAGUGAGGAAUAUUGGUCAAUGGGCGCUAGCCUGAACCAGCCAAGUAGCGUGAAGGAUGAAGGCUCUAUGGGUCGUAAACUUCUUUUAUAUAAGAAUAAAGUGCAGUAUGUAUACUGUUUUGUAUGUAUUAUAUGAAUAAGGAUCGGCUAACUCCGUGUCAGCAGCUGCGGUAAUCUGAGCGGGCUGGCAAGGC
RNAcentral lists this ribosomal RNA (218 nucleotides) under uncultured bacterium. RNAcentral's name for it is "partial 16S ribosomal RNA". It matches the Rfam family "Bacterial small subunit ribosomal RNA", at positions 328 to 539 of the family's 1533-position model. The record is from RNAcentral.